This 253-nucleotide ribosomal RNA is filed under the name uncultured bacterium. RNAcentral's name for it is "partial 16S ribosomal RNA". It matches the Rfam family "Bacterial small subunit ribosomal RNA", at positions 524 to 776 of the family's 1533-position model. The record is from RNAcentral.
UACGGAGGGUGCAAGCGUUGUCCGGAAUCACUGGGCGUAAAGGGCGCGUAGGCGGCUCUCUAAGUCACUUGUGAAAUCCUGGGGCUCAACUCCAGGGCUGCAGGUGAGACUGGAGGGCUAGAGCUCGGUAGAGGCGAGUGGAAUUCCCGGUGUAGCGGUGGAAUGCGUAGAUAUCGGGAAGAACACCGGUGGCGAAGGCGGCUCGCUGGGCCGAUGCUGACGCUGAUGCGCGAAAGCGUGGGGAGCAAACAGG